Molecule: ribosomal RNA, 253 nt
Filed under: uncultured bacterium
Lineage: Bacteria
Description: partial 16S ribosomal RNA
Rfam family: Bacterial small subunit ribosomal RNA
Source: RNAcentral
GACAGAGGAUGCAAGCGUUAUCCGGAAUGAUUGGGCGUAAAGCGCGUGUAGGCGGCCGGCUAGGUCUGGUGUGAAAACUCGAGGCUCAACCUCGAGAUGUCGCCGGAAACCAGUCGGCUAGAGUCCGGAAGAGGAGAGUGGAAUUCCUGGUGUAGCGGUGAAAUGCGCAGAUAUCAGGAAGAACACCUAUGGCGAAAGCAGCUCUCUGGGACGGUACUGACGCUGAGACGCGAAGGCGUGGGGAGCGAACAGG